UAGAAAUAAAAUUUCGAAAUUACGUCAGUUUUUAUGUACUCCUAUUUCCCGUACCGGCGAUUCCGCUUCUAAGAUUUUUCCGUAUGGCGAAAACACACAGAAAAGUUCUGGUACGCCGUCGGUCAUCGCGCUCGUAAAAUUUAUGACCAUACACACUGGACAACAUAAUUCGGUGUGGAUAUUUCAAAGAGCUUUCGGCUCUGGCGGAUUAAGAACGAGUGUUGGCGGCGAAAAGGGGGCGUGAAAGGGGAUAAGGUGUUUUACAUAUAUAAUAUGUGUGUUGUUACAGCAGCAGAUAAACCCCUUUUUGAAGAGCAAGGACGUGGAUGCCAGGGGGAUCGAAAAGACGAAGCGAUUAUUUUUAUAUGGGUUUUCAAUUGUGGCCGGGAAUAUUGUACUUUCAGCGCUCACGGGAGUUGAAUAAAUCAGGAAUAAUACGAUAUUAAUGGGGAAGUAAUGCAUGCACCCGAUUAAUUCAGAGUGUCUCUUCGAAAGGCAAAAGUCUGAAAGCACAAUGCCAUGACAGCGCGUGACACUUUGAUCAUCAAAGCGUUGGCCAGAAAACCAUUAAGUGCUUACCAGGAUUGCAGCCAUCGAACGCCCCCGAAAGCAAUCGAUUCACGUGCCAUAUUGAGUUGUUCGGAUGGCCACUUUUUUCGAUUCGACAUCGGACAUUAAACAAAUCCAUUGACCACCACGGUAUCAGGAAGAGGAACAGGAACGGAAUCCGAAACCGUAUCGAAACAGAAACAGAAACAGAAACAGAAACACACGCAAAUCUUGAUUGAAUCAACUUAAUUUAGAUCAGAGCCCGGUGAUUCGUGUGUGGUCGUAAAAAGCGCGACAUAUUGGGAUUGGGAACUCGGACUUAUCACACGUCGGUGUUCGUGGGUUAUCCUUGCCCAUCGGUUCGUGUGUGCCGGUGUCUGUAAACUUUUAUGACACGUGGUGGAGUUGCCGCAACAAAUAACAGCAGACAACAAACAGCACACAACAACAAACAGCGACCAACAACUGGCAACCGGCAAAAUCGACAACGGGAACAACAAGAGUUGUUUAAUAAUAAUAAAAACAAAUGAAAAGAGCACGUAGCUGGUGGCAGCAGCACCACAACAAAGGUGGCUAUGGCUAUUGCUCCAGGGGUCAGAGGUCAGUGGGUGGCGGGGUGGCGGUGUG
Molecule: long non-coding RNA, 1176 nt
Organism: Drosophila gunungcola (fruit fly)
Lineage: Eukaryota; Metazoa; Arthropoda; Insecta; Diptera; Drosophilidae
Exons: 3
Source: RefSeq, a predicted model, not a curated record